This 142-nucleotide small nuclear RNA is filed under the name Canis lupus familiaris (dog). Its description in RNAcentral is "U4 spliceosomal RNA (ENSCAFG00030022480.1, ENSCAFG00040002170.1, ENSCAFG00805015200.1, ENSCAFG00845003642.1)". The stretch from base 1 to 65 matches the Rfam family "U4 spliceosomal RNA". The record is from RNAcentral. Lineage: Eukaryota; Metazoa; Chordata; Mammalia; Carnivora; Canidae.
AGCUUUGCGCAGUGGCAGUAUCGUAGCCAAUGAGGUUUAUCUGAGGCGCGAUUAUUGCUAUAUUGUGUUUUGCAGAACAGAAUUUUUAAUGAUGUCCAGCUUACUGAUUUAUUUCAUGAAUUUUACCUAUAGGGUUACAUCU